Molecule: long non-coding RNA, 4114 nt
Organism: Gasterosteus aculeatus aculeatus (three-spined stickleback)
Lineage: Eukaryota; Metazoa; Chordata; Actinopteri; Perciformes; Gasterosteidae
Source: Ensembl
GGAGAGAUGUGGGAGGAAUAUGAGGUGAGGAGACAGAGGGGAAGCCCUAUGGAGGGCACAAGGGGAGGUGGAAGAGGAAGUUGAACAUCGGACAGAACCUUGGUUUUGUCGAAGGGUGUGGGUGCCUCUUCAUUUCCUCAUAGUCAGGACCUGAUCAACCAGCUGAUCAACCAGCUCCAAAUGCUCGGGUAAUCACCUCACCUGCACCACGUUGACCGAGAAGAAAGUGUUCUAGUUCAUCAAGGCUUGAGUCAAUAACCAGACUGCAGGCGCACACUCUGUACGUAUUUAAAAACGUGAGAAUUUGUGACACGCUGCAGACGCCAUUCGUGAUGAUUAACUAUUGCAUGUUGGAGAGCCUGUGUGAGUGUGUGAGUGCGUGUGUGUGUGUUUUUAUCUUCCGGUCUCAGCAAAGUGAAUCGUGUUAUAUAUUGAUGCCUCGCUCUUUACGCCUUCAUGGAGUGUAAAAUUAACGAGCUGUCGGGCUAUGCGGAUGAGAUUAAACGUCGUGCGUGUUUGCAUGUGUGUGUGUGUGUGUAUGUUUGUGUGGAAGCAUGAUUCAUUGAUGGUGGGCAUUUGGAGGGCUGCUGCACUGCAUGCUAAACCGACGCCACAGGCUGUGUGGGGCUCAAGAAUAGCUGGACGACUGUUGCUUAGUCUGACCAGAACACUCCAAGCUGUGCGACCCCAACCCUAAACCGCCCUCGCGUUCAUGUGCAGGCAACAUAUAAACACUACAAAAAUGGCUCAUGGCAGACUGAGACGUUUUUGUGAACAUACACUAUAUAGUGUCAAGUGUUUAUUUGAAAAUAGAGCACCUUCCCCUUUGAGUCAUCUGAAAGCUGUGUAUGACUAAGUGGUGAAUGCUGUAAUCAAAUUUAGACCCCCAGGUUAACACUGUUAUAUCUGUCAGCAAUGUAGCUGUUGUUUGCACCGUUCACACUGUUGGGACUGUUUUUGUUGUAUUUGUUGACAAAUAUAAUCCUUGAGAUUUGAAUUAAAGGAACCUUCUUCAUCCUCCUUUGCAGAACGGUCCGAGGUGAGAUUGCCUUGGCUGUUUGUAAUUUCAUCAGCCUCACUUUCCUACGACGGCUCUUUCACAUUUAAAGGAUUGGAGUGGUGGAGCACAGGGGGACGCUUAUUGGAGCACAUUGUUUACUACAGAUUGUGACCUUAAUAAAAACUCAACCAAUCGCCUUGCAACUAAAAAGGUGGUAUGAGAAUCUUUCACACCAUUCGUCAUUCGUUUAAAAAUAGGUGGGGUCAAAAUAUAUUGUAACGCGCAGCAACUAACAUGAGUCCCAUUCUCCGUGUCUACCUCGUCCGACCGGGUCCUUCGGAGAGAAUCCGUUUAGUCAAAGCUGCCGCUGUCUUAUUGUUAUUGUAGGUUAAUCUUUCUAAGGCGCAUGUUCCCUUAUCGGAGCGCUGCAGUCACUACGCACCUCGAUUAGCUUCUUGCAGUGAAAUAAUUAAAAUCACACUAAUCUUUGCAAAUAUGAAAUGUUGCUACCCGUCUAAUUAGAGGCCUCAGAGGCAAACAGCACAGAGGAAAACUAAAGGCGCCAGACUCUGAAGCUGAAGUUGGCUGCUGCUGUUGUUUAAUGCAGGAGGCAUUUUGGGGUGUGGGAUGAAUAAAACAUCAGAGCACCUAGUUUAUUUCCAUCCUCCACCGUAACUCGUUCUUUACAUAAUUGAAUUCUGGCCCGUUCGCGGCGCUGCUUCUAAUUGAACCUCUGCCCGUUAGCCUGGGAAUGAUUUGUUUCUGCGUGGAGGGCUGAGGAGACCUCCUCCAGAUCACUGAAAGGGUUGAGGUCCAUGUAUCAAUCCUGUUUGUGGUAAGAAAAGAGGACUGUUUGCAUCACCUUCCCUCACAUGCCUGCAGACUUCAAGCUUCUCCUUCUGUCCGUGGGUGAGAAGCUACACCCUCCUGCCCAGCAACCAUUCAACCUGGAUGAUUUACACUCUGAACUGACCCCCCCCUUCUCGCCCCUGCAGGUCAAAGUCUCCCCCUUCCUCCACUUCUUUGUUCACACAGGGUUAUUUUGUUAAUGUGUGACUUGUUGCCUAAUCUGUCAUGUUGCGCGUUACAGUAGAGUGCCCCCCCCCUCCCUUCCCUCGACUUUGCAGGCCUCAAUUGUGAGAGAUGCUUAGCCCAUUGUGCAGCAAGGUUUUUUAUGCACAGCCAUGCCCUCCCCAUAUGGACGCCAUUGUGGCUUGCAAUAAAUGGUCACAUUCAGCCCCACUUCCGCCUUCUCAUUGAACAGCGUCACAUUAGCAUUCUGCUGCGACACAUAGUGAGGGAUUACAGGUAGUGAGCUUGGUCAAAUGUAGGAGAAGGAAGUGAUCCUCGGUAUGUGAGCAAACCAUCACGUUGUUAGGCUGCAAGCAUUUAGGUGCCGUUUUAUGGCUCUCGGUCGCUGUGGUUAUUCUCAGCUCAAUUAACAGAUGAGGUUUUAUGGAGUGAGCUAACAAGGUCUGCAGAGGUCCUGUUAGGCCAGUUCAGCAGUCUGAUCUUAAGUUGAAAUAUGACUCAGUUAAUGGCCUCUAAAUGCUGCAUGGGAAAAGGACGAAUACCAAGCUCUGCUUCAUGCUGGCGCGCAGGGAAAAGGCUUUUUGAGGUUUUAUCGAUAGCCUUUGCACAUGAAUCAAUGUCAUGCUGAUCAUCCUUACAGAUGGACUGUCUUUUCUCAUGUUUUUAAAGUAAGGGAACAAAUAAAUAACCAGAAAUGACGUAAGAUUUGUGUGAUAGUAUUGAAUUGCGGUUGUAUUGGAGGGGCUGUCGUUGUGAUUGUGAUUGCAAGAAAACUAUGAAAGGUUGAAGAAAGCUGGAUCAAAUACAACACGUGGCAAGGGGCAGUGACAGAUAACAAGUUACAAUCUCUUGGUGAACUAUGACUUCAGUAUGAAGACGUCAAAGAGACGUUCCACGCCCGUGAACCCCCACCGCAUGAUUUCAACGUGGACAAUAUGUGUCACGGUGGUGUGGUGGUUAGCACUGUCGCCUCACAGCAAGAAGGUCCUGGGUUCGAUUCUGCAUGUUCUCCGUGUCUGUGUGGGUUCUCUCCGGGUUCUCUGGCUUCCUCCCACAGUCCAAAGACAUGCUCUGGGCAUCAGGUUGAUUGGUGACUCUAAAUUGCCCGCAGGUGUAUGUAUGAGAACGGUUGUGUGUCUCUGUGUAGCUCUGCGAUUGGGUGGCGACCAGUCUAGGUUGGACCCUGUCUAUCGCCUGAAGUUGGCUGGGAUGGACUCCAGCCCCCCCGCGACCCUGCGUGCAGGAUAAGCGGUUUGACAAUGGAUGGAUGGAUGGAUGAAUUUACAUAUAAUAGUUAACAAUUAUAUUAUUUAACAACUUUGUUACUGCCAAACAUUAUCGUUGGAAAAGUUAUUGCAUCAAUGUACAUGAAUUUCUCUCUAAAUGUUUGAAAAAGUGUCAUGUAAAUGUUGUUGUGCUUUUUUGUUCAUAUGAUAAUGCUAAAUGUGGCAAAACUGCGCAGGAUUUUAGACCGUGCAACAUUUUACAAACGGCGCCCCAUAAACCACCACACCACCGCGCCGCCCAUGUUGUGUUGGUGGUCAGUUAUAUUUUGCAUGCUAAUCAGAAAGAGAGAACUGGCUGCUGUUUUGCUUUAGUUUAAUUUCUGCUGUUUUCCUCAGUUGGUUUUUAUAAUAUUAACACCGUUUUUAUAGGCAUUUGUGCUUACCUUGGUUUUAUUGUUUUCUCUAAUAAAACCUUUUCCUUAAUUACAACAAACAUAGCUCUGCCUUAUCCACAGUGACUCAUUUUCGGGCCUUGGGUAUCUUGAAUCUGCAUUUCUUGGGGUGUAAGUCCCCAGGUGGCGUUGCUGGUUUCUUCCCCUAAAGCCCCGUCACACUGAGUAAGGCUGACCAGAUCCUCCUCCCGCUCGUCACCUCCUGCCAGUAUUUAAACCCGGGUCCUGCAGUCCCCGGUAGUCUGUCUUCUACCCUGGUUCAGGUCCUUUCAGAUACGCCCUGUGUUGUUCCACGGAGAUCACCAGUCGACACUGAGCUGAACAACCAAGAAUCCCUCACCAGCCACCUCGAGUCCCUUCAUCUACAGAUCUAUCUCCUAAUGACUCCUCCAUGAAGAAGGCCC